This 2319-nucleotide unclassified non-coding RNA is filed under the name Hevea brasiliensis (rubber tree). Lineage: Eukaryota; Viridiplantae; Streptophyta; Magnoliopsida; Malpighiales; Euphorbiaceae. The record is from RNAcentral.
UGUCUUUUUUUUUUUUUUUUUGUUUUCCAAGAGAGAAAGAGAGAUGGGAGAAAGAGAGAUGGGAGGUGAGAGUUCUGUGCUAGAGAAUAUCCUGGCUUUUGUACCAAUGACCUAUCAAUUCUGUCACUAUCAAAAUUAGAAAAAUAAACAAGUGUCCUAUGGUAGUUGGAUUUGAUCAUUAUAUUACAAUAACGAGUGAUUAACUAAUAUCCAAGAUGGAAAAGCUAACAAUUUUCCAAUCAAAUUUGAUUAAAAAAAGAAGUGAAUUGCUGGACGGCACAUGGUUAGGACUUUGUAAUUAUUAAGUGGGCAACUUAUACUAAAUGCUUCGGCGGAUAUAUCUAUGGAGCAACGGCUGCUAAAUAAUUUCUUUUGUUUGCACUUUGCACGCCUUCUUUUUCUUGCAAGUUUCAUAUUAGUGAUGUUGAUGAGAUCAAAAGAAAUUGGGACCUUGUGUGAUCCUUACAAUGGCAUCUCUUUUUGCCAGGCCAAGCCAAAGCAUGGCUUGCUGUGACAAAGACGGAGCAAGGCAAGGUCAAGCCAUGGCCAACUAGGCAAAGAUCAAAGCAAUGCAACAAAGAAAGGACCUAACGGAAAGUCAGAAAAUAACUGGAAAAUCAAUGGCUUGGAGCAUUCUUUAUCUUUUUUUUAAACUACAAGCUUUUGCAUUAACAAGGCUAUAGGGCUAACAAUACAACUGAUUCAAUACAGAAAAAGGCAUUUGAGACCCAAAACCCAAUCAAUUACAAAAAUCCCCAAAUCUAGAUACUAGAACCCUAGCAGACGAUAACAACAAUUAACAAGACUCCCUUGCAAUCCCGCCUGGUCUCCUUGAGCCAGAGCUAGUGCGGUGAGUGGGAAAGAAAAUGGCAACUUAUUGACCCAAGAGAUACCCACUAACAGUACAGCUAGGCUUCCUCCAGGAGACCAACCCAUUAUCGGCAACCUAUCCAACACAAGCAGAUCCAAAAAUUAGCACACAGGUUUUCGAAAGUUGCCCUCUCUGUGUCCUCCAGACCUGUAGACAGGCGCAAACCAAACUAAAACCCAUAUACAACAAACCCAGAUGGGGAGGGUUGUCUUGCAUAGCUAGGUCAGAGAAACAAAAUCUUCCCCUGUCCGAAGGCAAGGGAAGCCGACGAGGAGAAGAAGCUCGGCUAACCCGAGAGUAGAGAGACGUCUGGAACCAGGGGUUUGAGAGAAAUUUUCUCUCUCAUAAACCAAGAGAGAGCAAUCUGGUAACAUAAAUUAACACACGGGAAAUGAUCUUAUCUCCCUUUCAACAUUUCCAAGUAAUAUGUGGUAGAAUUCUACUUUACUUUCUCCUGCGCAAGACGACUUCUUUCUCUCAACCAGUCUAUCCAAUGAUUUGAAACCCAUAAUAUGCUAACCAAAAUUGCAGUUACUAUCACAACCAUCCAAGAAAUCCAUGCCCAUCCAUGAAUCAAACCAUUAGAUUUUCCACUUAGAUGAAACAACCCCAUCUUGAACAUGAAGAGUGGACCAAGAAUACCUCUAACAACUGAAUAAACGGCUAAAAAAGGAGGAGAUAAGAAUUCAUACAAUCUUGCAGCAGCAGGAAGAUCAGCUUUCCGUAAACUUGCAUUGAUCCACACAUUCUGGCAAGGACUUGUAACUUCAGCUAGUAUAAGAAGCACAAGAAUCCCAUAAGCUCCAUGGUGAAUCAUGUACCGACAGGUCACAAACACAUAGAGUGUUGCUAGAUGGUGAAGAAUGAUGAGAAUGCCAGUAGUAGGGAAGAAAACUAUGCAGUGUAAGAGAUCCAUCAAGAAAUAAGCCAUGCUGAAUUCAAGAGCUCUAUCAUGGAAGGUGGAAUUUGGAGAAGCAAAAGUUUGUGCGGUUUGGGUGUGGAGUAAUGCAUAGAUAGCAAAGAUAACAGCAGGAGUUCCAUGAGUUAGGGACAGGAAAAAGCUUGAAGCUUCUGCUUUGCUUUUUGGAUCCCAGUUUCUGAAAAUUACAAAGUAAGCAAGUAGAUACAUGGAGAGAAACAUAAUGAAGGAUGUGGGCAGGAUUGGGGCAUAAAGAAGUGUAGCAUCCAUGUCACCCCAGCUGCAAGGAAUUCAGUGCACAGUGAAAGGGAGAGAAGAUUUUGAAUAAUUGAAGCAAGCAUGAGGAUAUUUUGGAGCUAAGAAAUUAAUAAAGCUUAAAUUGAGAGAGAAAGAAGAGAAGUGUCAGAGUUCUGUGCGAGAGAAUAUCUUAGUAGGGGUGGCCACUGGUUAAAAUUUUUGAACCACCAGGUUCAAACAUGAAACUAUCAUGAGACAAUUUAGAAGACGAUGACGAUUCCUGAAUUUCCAG